RNAcentral lists this ribosomal RNA (433 nucleotides) under uncultured bacterium. RNAcentral describes it as "partial 16S ribosomal RNA". It matches the Rfam family "Bacterial small subunit ribosomal RNA", at positions 29 to 506 of the family's 1533-position model. The record is from RNAcentral.
AGCGAACGCUGGCGGCAGGCCUAACACAUGCAAGUCGAACGGACCUUUCGGGGUUAGUGGCGGACGGGUGAGUAACACGUGGGAACGUGCCUUUAGGUUCGGAAUAGCUCCUGGAAACGGGUGGUAAUGCCGAAUGUGCCCUUCGGGGGAAAGAUUUAUCGCCUUUAGAGCGGCCCGCGUCUGAUUAGCUAGUUGGUUGAGGUAACGGCUCACCAAGGCGACGAUCAGUAGCUGGUCUGAGAGGAUGGCCAGCCACAUUGGGACUGAGACACGGCCCAAACUCCUACGGGAGGCAGCAGUGGGGAAUCUUGCGCAAUGGGCGAAAGCAUGACGCAGCCAUGCCGCGUGAAUGAUGAAGGUCUUAGGAUUGUAAAAUUCUUUCACCGGGGACGAUAAUGACGGUACCCGGAGAAGAAGCCCCGGCUAACUUCGU